AAGUGAUAAACCAAAGGUUCACGACGUGAGCAAGGAUUGAUUCACGACGUGAGGAGUCACAUGGCCACCUUCCGAAGCUAGGGACGCAAAUGGCAAGACUACGGGAUGAUCAUGCAAGACUCACGACGUGAGCCUUAUGAAACUCAUGACGUGAGUUUCUAAAAUCCUUACUAUAAAAGCAGGUCCGACUUCAGCCAUUCUUACACCUAAUCUUCUUCCCUCUCUCUCCUUUGCUGAGGCCAUUUUGCAUCCCGAGCCCCGACGAUCUCAUAUGCUGACCGUUUCUACUUAGAUAACAUAAAAUCACGCUACUAGGGUGAGUUUCACGGCCCCACUUUCUAAUAUUUCAGGGGAAAACGCAUGCUAGAUAUUAUAUAUAUGUUAUUAUUAUGUCUAUAUGAUAGUAUAUAAUUAUGAUAACCGGGAUAUGAUUGUUCUAAAUAUAAUAUUUUGAAUAUAUACAACUAUUAUCAACUUAUCAGUAUGUUAAUUUACUAAUAUAGAUCUUGAGUUAUACUUAGGAUUCUAUAUAUAUGUUGUGUGCGAUAUAAUACCGAAGUUAUAUUUGAAAGUUCUAUAUGUUAAGUUAUAAAGUAUGUUGCUAUUAAUAGUUUUAUGUCAAGAUAAAACUGGAUAUGUUAUAUGUUGUUAUUGUUAGUUUUAUGUCAAGAUAAAACUGGAUAUGUUAUAUGUUGUUAUUGUUAGUUUUAUGUUAAGAUAAAACUUGGUAUUGUUAUUGAUAGUUUUAUGUCAAGAUAAAACUAGAAACGUUAUAUGUUGUUAUUAUUGGUUUUAGGUCAAGAUAAAACCUGGUUUUACUUCAAGAUAUAGCUGUUAUAUUGCCUAAAUAUUAUGAAGUUAGAUGUAAUGUUUAAAAGCAUAGUCUAGUAACUUAGGGUUUUAGACAUGAAGAUGCUUUUGUUGUUAGAGCUAUAGGAAGUCGUCAAAGUCUACAUGAGUAAUUGUAUUCAUCAACUAAGAUUGGGGAUCUUAGCGGAAAUCCUCUGAACUGUAACCGUUAAUCCCGUGUGAGCGAGGAAGUCGUGUAUAAUUAGUAUACAGGUUGACCACCCCACUUGUGACUGUUGGCUACAGUCAACCAAAAGCAAGUGAUGAACUAUCCUUUUAUUUGUUAUUGUUUCGGCGUUCAUGAAGCGUACGGUGUUGUUUCUCAUGGUAAAUCAUGAGUGUGUUCUAUCAGAGAUAUUAUGUCAUAGCAGCAGUUACAGGCUUAUGGUAGCAGAUUGUUAGAAACAUUAUACGUUGUCGUAUACAAGUACUAAUGUUAAGUAUAAGUUUUCCCCUACUUAUACCUUAGGAUUAAGAAAUGUUAAGGAAUAAUACUUAUUUGAUAAGUAUACUAUUAUACCUAAUAUACAUACUAAAUGUUGGAGAGUCAAAAUGAUACUUUCAAAACUAUACUUUUGAAUGUGUGAAAAUAUAUUAUUUUAUGGAGUCAAAACGUGUGGACUCACCAACUUUAUGUUGACGUAUUUUUAAAAUGCAUGUGUUUUUAGGAACUUGAAAAGCUAGUAUGUAUUUGAACAUGAGAAGUUUUACUAUUAUCUUUCUGUUCAUUAAGAAGUAUGCCAUAGUCGGAUAUUAUGUAAUAAAUAGUAGGAAAACAAUAAUGUAACUUUCAAUAAUCAAUAAAGGUAUGUAUUUUCUUUAGCAUUGUUCAAUGUAUGUUAUAUAGCUGUGAUACAAAGAAUGACGUUGCACUACUCGGUGUUUCCGCCGACGGCUGGGGUGUGACAAAUUUGGUAUCAGAGCUAUUAACUAUAGUGAACUGGUACUUUCUUAGGAAAGCACGUCUAUAGUUUAGGACUUACUCUAUUUGGUUUAGGUAUAUCCCUUACCCUAUAAAUAAAAAAUAUUAUUAAUUAUUCUAUUGAAGGACUACUUACGGGAGCGGUGACAAGGAUAGACAUGUCAAUUUGGGUUGCUGGAUUUCAGAAAGCUAUAUGCUAAAAUGAUCCUGCCCUUUCGACAGUCCUGACUGGCCGGAGCCUUAUCAGAUAGACCUGAAGUAACAAACAAUAGUAAAAGCAGGAAUACAAUAAAUAAGAAUAUAGAGUCAUAUAUAAAGACUCAGACCCGCGAUGAGAAUACACCUUAAUACCCAUAAUGUUUUUGAUCUCAAGGAUUUAGAUCAAAUAUUCCAACUAAAGUCUAUAUGUGCAUAGAUCUUAUCACAACUAGGUGUAGGUGCUCAACUACAUUUUAUUAUGAUCAGAUCAUAUGAACUAUUUAAUUUGGGAGAAAUAUUUGAUAGAAUAAACUCUUGGUGAUCCAAAAUGUAUAGGAAUCCGACAUGGCACAUUCACGAGAAUGAAUAAUUAUCGAGGAUACGGAUGGAGAAGAGGAAGUUCCAUUCCCUAUGAUGGUAGGCGAUUCUUACUACCGUAUAACUCUAACCACCUUUCAUCCAAUACCUUCUGACGAUGGAGCACCUUUACCCUCCAACGAAUGGGAAGAGAGUGAACCAAUGGAAGAAAGUGAAUCGAUGGAGGAGACAGAGUCGGUGGCAUCAUGUAACGCCCCGGGUUUUCUCGGUACGUUUGGUUAUUUUAAUUUAAUUAUCCUUGUAACCUUGGGUUAAUUUAUUUAACCAAUGUCUGAUUUCUUAUGUUAUUGGACUCUUUUGAUCAUCUUGUAAACUCCUUUUAUUGAAGUCCAUGGGCUAUGGGCCUAUUUGCAAAGUCCAUCUAGUUAAUAGUACUUAAUGUGUAAAUUGAAUCACAUUGGGAACACACAAGGAAACCACUCUAACCCCUCCCUCUCUCUCAAAAAUCGUCCCUCUCUCUCUCUUUGGGAUCAAGAGCAGCCAAGAGGCUGUUUGGAGCUUAAUUCUUGUUCAUUUCCAGCCUUGAUUUGUAUUGGUAUGAACCUCCUUAUCCUUUCUUACAACUUGAUUCAUAACCUUGUUCUAGUUUUAUGAUUUCAUCUUCACCUCUUCUCCUUCUUAUUUUAUUUGUAAUUGUAUGUUAUACAUCAUCUCAAGAUCCUAUCUUCACCCCAUAUAUGGUGGAUGAUGGAUCUAGGGGAUUACAUGUGGCAAAAGAUCAUGGAAACCCUAAAAGGGAGAAUGAUGAUUUUAUGUGCUUAUGUUUAUUUUCAUGUUGAUUAUUAUUACAUCCUUGUGGCUAAAUGAAAUCCUAAUGAUCCCUAACCCUUUUUAGUACCACCAUUAUCAUGGGGACUGAAUUGGGAUGAUGAACACAUCUUAAAAUGUGUUUCAAAAGGAGAAGGAUGGAUAAGCCAAAAAGGAAUCACGGGUGGCUACGAUUCUGUUUUCCAUCAGAUCUGUAGUCAUUUUGUAAAAAUCAUAUCUGGAGCUCUAGAACUCAAACGGACCCCAAACCAGUUCCAAAAGUUCACAAAUUGAGUUGGCUAACUUUCUUAAGAAGGCCAACCUCACUGAUAAGGGCUUUAUCUAUGUGAAAGAAUGGCAUCUUUGCUGUUAGGUCUGAUCCGGGUCUGUUCUGAUAUGUCAUUUUGUUUUCAUCAUUUCUAAGGCUUGGAAAAGGAUCCAGAGUGAUUCCAAGUUUCUAUAUGUUCCUUAUAUUAUGAAUUUAAGAUCUGGAGAAUAUGGGGUGUUAUUUCCAAUUAUAAAUUGGUUAGAAUGGAUCCACACUCCAGGUCAGUGGGCAGUCACCAGCUUUUGCUAGUGCUGUGAUUGUCCACAAUGUGAAUUUUAUAUCUGGAGUUUGAGAGAUGCUUUUCAUUCAAUUCCAACUCUGAGACUUUCACUUGUAUGUCCUUUACUUCUCUUAAUUUUCUUUUGGACGAAUUCUACUCACAAGUUGGGUAGAAUUGGCCAACAUCACUUGACUGUAUUGUUGGAGACAGAAGUGAUACACCAUUUUGUAAAAUUCAUAUUUAAUUCAUCUUUUGGAGUUAGAAUGAGUUCUUUAUAGUUAUGGAAUCCUGAGCAAUCAUAGUUUCCUAUAAAAUUUAGUUAAAGCUAUGUUUCUGUUUUAGAUUUUGGAGUAAAUCCGUUUUGAACAGCAGGUCUGUUUUAGAGACCUUGCUGUGAUUACUCUUUUCUCAACUCAUAGCUUCAUUACUUCUCCUUUCUAACCUUUAGUCCUUCUUAGGUGAGGUUUUGAAGUUUGCUCAAGCUUGGUAGCAUUAUUUGAUUGUUAGCCAUCCUUAAUACUCACUCAAGGUGAGUUCUCUCACACCGUUGUAUUGAUGAUUGUGUUUGCUAGUUAGCUCGUGUGUGAUUAUUUGAAUUUAUUAUAAAAGCAUGCUAUAUAAGUAUUGUUUUAAUUCGUACAUGUGCACUGUAUGUAACUAAUUAUGGAUAUGGGGACACCACCAAAGGAUACGGAUUUACCGGUGCGGUGGGUAGGUAAGAUCACCAACGUAAUACUCUUCGUGAGGUGCGGUGAUUAGGGCCAAAUGAUACGGGAUCUUCCCGGUGCGGUUCAAACCUACAAGUCCUUCUCGUAAUAUAGACAUUGAUUCGUUCUUUGCCUUUAUCAUUAUAAUUGGAAAAUGGAUUAGGGCUAGUAAAUAUGAAUUUUAGUACAAUGUCUGUGUUUGAAUUCACUAAGCUUCGUGCUUACGUUUUUCCCUUAUAACUUUUCAGGUGUUAAGAUUAAAGAGGCUAAGGCUUGACAUGGAGCAUCGGGACAUCGCUACUAGUUAUUUUGUUGGGACCUUAUUAUUAUUAUUACUUCCGCACUUAUUUUAUAUGAUUANGAUUAUGUUAUGACUAUUUCUGUUGUUUUAAUUUAAAUUAAGAUGGGUUUUAAAAGUUUAAAAUUUUUGCAAAAAUUUGGGUGUCACACAUCAUCUUUACCACCACCGAACACUCUUUACCGUAAAGUUCCAGGAGGAGUAAAAAUGAAAUGCAUUGCACGUAAAUCUAUACUGAUAUGGAAAAAGAUUAAGAAGAGUCAGAAGGCAACAUCUUCAUGAAGUCAUAGAGUUCAAGAUGAACCUGCACGAAUCGCACAAACAGUUGAUAGAUGGGUGGAGGAAGAAAAAGCUGCCAAGAUGUAUGAGACUGGUCAAUCAUCUAGACCACAUCUCCCACAUUCUUUUGAAGAUAACACUUUAUCUCAAUUGUUUGAGAAAAGUGUGAAAAUUGAAUAUAAGAUGGAAAUUGUUGAAGGGAGGUCUACUCAUCUCUCUGGAAGAGUGCGAAGGCUAGAAGGACAAAGGACACGAGAUCAGGAAUUGGUGAUGGAUGUCCAUCAUCGUAUAAAUUUUGCUUAUAAUGACAUGAUUACUGACGAUGCCAGGAUUGCAGACUUAGAGCUCUACAAUCAAACCUCAAGAAAUGAAGAAUGCACGAGAAUUCUUGAGCAGAGAACUCAAGCACUUGAAGAGCAAGUGGUUAAUGUCACUGACGUGCUGGGUCAUCACUUAGGUUUUUGGUAGAUAGGCUACAACUAGUGGUUAUGUAAAUAGAGAAAAUCAGACUAGUUAAGGAGAAAAGAGGAAAGUUUAUAGCAAGGAUGUACAAAACCUUGCAAAUUUUGCAAUGUUUAUAAGAACUUUUCUCUUAUAAACAUAAAUAAACUGAUGUAACCACUGGUAAUCAUAUGAAGCAUACGUUACAGUAAUCAUUACGUUGUCUAUUAUGUUUUACGCUGUGAAUAAUAAUUGGUGUAUUAAAUGAUUAACAAAACUCAUAAAAAUUCUUAUUAUUUAUAAUAGGAACUAAAACAAAAUGCCUAGAAGGAGUAAUCGGCUAAACCCUAACCGACCAUCAGCACCACAACAACAACCACCACCAGAAAUAAACCCCUCAAUAAGUACAAUACAACUUGAAGAAAUCAUAGCUCAAAGAAUUGUUGCGGCUCUAUCUAAUGUCACAAGAGAUGGAGUUAGAAAUGAAGGCCAUGUAGGGACCGCUAGAACAUGUACCUACAAAUAUUUUAUGAAUUGCAGGCCAAAAAUCUUUCAUGGAAAUGAAGGGGUAGUGAAUUUGACAAGGUGGAUAGAAAAGUCAGAAUCCUUCUUUCAAAUAAGCUUUUGUCCAGAUGAUUGUAAAGUACGAUUUUGCAGCAUGUACUUUCACUGACGCAACACUUACAUGGUGGAAUAGCCAUGUGAAUACAAUGGGAAUUGAUACUGCAAAUUCCAUGAAAUGGGAGGAGCUAAAAAUGAUGCUAGUAGAGGAGUAUUGUCCUAGGUAGGAGAUACAUAAACUGGAACAAGAACUGUGGACCCUAACCAUGAAGGGUUUAGAGAUAAAAGCUUAUACCGCUAGAUUUAAUGAUCAUGUUGUAAUGUGUCCAGCACUUGUAACCCCUGAAUAUAAAAAUAAUGAGCGAUAUAUCAGGGGUUUAGCAUCGCAAAUCAAAGGCAUGGUGAUCGCAUCAAAGCCUACGACUUAUGAUAGCGCCAAGAGGAUAGCUCAUCAGCUAACCCUCACAGAGAUCCAAGGAAGAGAAGUGGUCUCAAAGGCUGAGUCUCCCAAAUCUAGAGCAAACAAGCGCAAGUUUAAUAAGAAGAAUCCCAAACAAUCAUCUGAGAAAAGACAAGAAGUGGCAACCAACUACACAGCCACAACAACAGUACCUACUCAACCAAAAUCUUCAUGGUGCAAUCAGUGCAACCGUCAUGAUCCAGGUGACUGUUUUGUCUGCAUGAAGUGCAAGAAAAAUGGGCAUACUACAAGUUACUGCAGGAGCACAACACCUGCAACAGUCGAUCAACAAACCAAUAAUGGGACAGACUGUGGUGAAGUAAGAAAAUGCUUUGAGUGUGGGGAGGUUGGACAUAUCAAGAAAGAAUGUCCGAAGUUAAGGAGUUAAGGAGGCAUAGGACGUGGCACGGCGUUUGUGAUUGGAAGCAGAGAGGCUAUCCAGGACCCUUCCGUCGUAUCUGGUACGUUUCUUAUAGAUAAUUUAUAUGCUUCUAUACUCUUUGACUCUGGAGCAGAUCGAAAUUUUAUAACUCCGACAUUUAUAAAGUUGUUAAGUCAUAAGUCUAGCAUAUUAAAAGAAAACAAUGAAGUAGAAAUCGUUAACGGUCAAACUGAGAAAACACAUGAAAUCCUAGAAAACUGUCUGUUAACUCUUAAUAACUACCUUCUUCACGUCAACCACAUGCCAAUGCCUAUCAGUAGUUUUGAUGUUAUAAUUGGGAUGGAUUGGUUAUCUUCACACUGCGCCGAAAUUCUAUGUCAUGAGAAAGCCAUACGACUACCCUUACCAAACGGCAAAGCUCUGAUUAUCUAUGGCGAUAAAUCUGGGAAGAACCGCAAAGUCAUCUCUUGUACUAAGACCCAAAAAUAUCUAAAUAAGAAAUAUAAUGCACUCUUAGCCCACAUUGUAGAUAAGAAGAGAAAAACAAAAGAAAUCAAGGACAUACCUCAAGUAUGUGAUUUCCCUGACGUGUUUCCUGAAGAUCUACCUGGAAUACCUCCCAUACGACAAGUUGAUUUUCGAAUCGAAUUAAUUCCAGGAGCAACACCAGUAGAAAAAUCUCCUUAUCAGUUAGCUCCAUCUGAAAUGCAAGAAUUGUCUACCCAACUACAAGAACUUCUUGACAAAGGCUUUAUCCGACCAAGUUUUUCACCUUGGGGAGCACCAAUCUUGUUUGUCAAGAAGAAGGACGGAUCCUUUCGAAUGUGUAUUGAUUAUCGGGAGCUGAACAAGCUAACAAUCAAGAAUCUUUAUCCACUUCCAAGAAUUGAUGAUCUAUUCGAUCAACUGCAAGGAUCUAGCUACUACUCAAAGAUAGAUCUUAGAUCAGGCUACCAUCAACUCAGAGUACAAGAAGACGACAUUCCAAAAACAACAUUUAGACCUCGUUAUGGUCAUUAUGAGUUCUUAUUUAUGUCUUUUGGAUUAACCAAUGCCCCAGUAAUGUUUAUGGACCUCAUGAAUCGUGUUUGCAAACCAUACUUGGAUAAAUUUGCGAUCGUAUUUAUCGAUGAUAUGUUGAUAUAUUCACGAACCAAGGAAGAACAUGGUCAACACCUACAAAUAAUCUUGGAACUACUAAGAAAAGAAAAGUUGUACGCUAAAUUCUCCAAAUGUGAGUUUUGGAUUAGAGAAGUAAAAUUUUUAGGUCAUGUAGUUAGCAACGAAGGGAUUCAUGUUGACCCAUCCAAAGUUGAAGCAAUCAAGAAUUGGGAAGCACCAAAGACGCCAACAGAGGUGCGUCAAUUCCUAGGACUUGCUUGCUAUUACCGAAUAUUCAUCGAGAAUUUCUUCAAAAUAGCCAAGCCGCUUACAACACUAACCCAGAAGGAUACGAAGUUCAACUGGGAAGACAAACAAGAAGCUGCUUUUCAGAAACUGAAGCAAAUGUGGUCUAGUGCACCAAUCCUAUCCCUUCCAGAUGGGACAGAAGAUUUCGUCGUGUACUGCGACACAUCAAAUCAAGGAUUGGGAUGUGUGUUGAUGCAAAGAGGAAAAUUUAUCGCCUAUGCAUCACGACAACUUAAGGUGCAUGAGAAUAAUUACACUACCCAUGAUCUUGAAUUGGGAGCUGUAGUUUUUGCACUAAAAAUCUGGAGACAUUACCUAUACAGUACUNCGACCACAAGAGUCUCCAACACAUCUUCGACCAAAAAGAUCUUAAUAUGAGACAAAGGAGAUGGGUUGAGUUGUUGAAUGAUUACGAAUGUGAGAUUCGUUAUCAUCCCGGAAAGGCAAACGUGGUAGCAGAUGCCUUGAGCCGGAAAGAAUAUAUUAAACCUCGACGGGUACAAGCAUUAACUAUAACUAUCCAUUCUAACUUUACCACACAAAUUAGAGAAGCUCAGCUUGAGGGUCUAAAAGAAGAAAACAUCAAGAAUGAAGCUUUGCGAGGAAUGCAAAAGCAACUUAUACGAAAAAAUGACGGAAUACAAUACUUUAUGAACCGAGUUUGGACGCCUAGGUUUGGUGAAGUCAGGGACUUGGUCUUAGAAGAAGCCCAUAAGUCCAGAUAUUCCAUGCAUCCAGGUUCUGACAAAAUGUACUUAGAUUUAGAAGUACAUUAUUGGUGGCCAAACAUGAAGGAAAAAAUUGCUACUUUUGUGAGAAAAUGUUUGACUUGUUCUAGAGUGAAGGCAGAACAUCAAAAGCCUUCAGGUUUACUUCAACCACCGGAAAUACCAGAAUGGAAAUGGGAGCAGAUUUCAAUGGAGUUCAUCACUAAGUCACCCAAAACUCCUAGUGGGUUCGACACUAUUUGGGUAAUAGUCGAUAGAUUGACUAAGUCCACCCAUUUCUUACCAAUUAAGGAGAACGAUAAGAUGGAGAAGCUGACUAGAGUUUAUCUUAAGGAAAUUGUCAGAUUGCAUGGAGUUCCAAAUUCUAUUAUUUCUGACCGAGAUAGUAGAUUCACUUCACGAUUUUGGCAAUCUCUACAAAAAUCCUUAGGAACACGUCUAGAUAUGAGUACAGCUUACCAUCCACAGACUGAUGGUUAGAGUGAGAGAACCAUUCAUACAUUGGAAGACAUGCUCCGAGCCUGUGUAAUAGACUUUGGGAAUGCAUGGGAUACUCAUUUACCAUUAACUAAGUUUUCCUACAACAAUAGUCAUCACACCAGCAUCAAGGUUGCCCCGUUUGAGGCUCUUUAUGGACGAAAAUGUCAUUCCCCUAUAUGUUGGACAGAAGUUGGAGAUACACAAAUGGUCAGAGAACGUACAAGCGAUACCUUACGUACUAGACAAGAAAUAAUCCACGAGACAACUGAAAAGAUCGUGAAAAUUAAGGAUCGAUUAAAGGUUGCACGUGAUCGUCAAAAGACCUAUGCUGACGUAAGACGUAAGCUUUUAGAAUUCCAAGUUGGAGAUAAAGUAAUGUUGAAAGUCUCUCCUUGGAAAGGUGUAAUUCGAUUCGGAAAACGAGGUAAACUAAACCCACGAUAUACUGGACCUUUUGAAAUUCUGGCAAGAAUUGGUUCUGUCGCAUACCAACUCAAGUUGCCUCAAGAGCUAAGUAAUGUACACGAUGUUUUUCAAGUAUCCAAUCUCAAAAUAUUUCUAUCCGAAGACACUCUUGUUGUACCUCUCGUCAAAAUGAAACUCAACUUUGUAGAAGAACCUGUUGAGAUUAUGGAUCGAGAAGUCAAACGAUUAAAGUAAAGUCGUACUCCCACAGUGAAAGUUCGAUGGAACUCUUUGCGAGGACCUGAAUUUACUUGGGAACGUGAAGAUCAGAUAAAAGGAAAAUACCCCCAACUAUUUGACAAAACCUUAUCCACAAGAUAAAUUUCGGGACGAAAUUGUUCUAACGGGGCGAGAAUUUAACACUAGCCAAAAUAGGUCAAUAACAAUCACAUGUGAUUAUGCUAAUCAUGUAAUGUGAUAAAUGUACUAUGUAUUUCAUGAUAAAUUCUAAUACAAAUAUGAACUUUCUUUAUGAUAAAACUCAAAGUAUACGUCCAUACGAUUCCAAAUAUAUAGAGAACGUCUGAAUCUAACUUCGCAUGAAGAAGUUAUGAUAAACCGAACACUAUAAAUCCCUAUAAUUAGAGUAAUUUAAAAUAGACUUAGAAUUAGCUAUUUCAGUCUAAAAGACAUUUGUAGUACUCGUAAAUACCUACGCGUGCAUAUAAAGAACGUCAAAAAUGGAGUUUGUACGUGAAAGUUACGACCUUUCAAAGAUUCAGCUGUCAAAAACCCUAGUCUGAAUGAACUCACGAGGUGAACAUAAAUGUUCACGAGGUGAAGAGUCAUAAGGCCAGAUUUCGGAGAUAGUAAGUGCAUGGCAAGUCUACGAAGUGAUAAACCAAAGGUUCACGACGUGAGCAAGGAUUGAUUCACGACGUGAGGAGUCACAUGGCCACCUUCCGAAGCUAGGGACGCAAAUAGCAAGACUAUGGGAUGAUCAUGCAAGACUCACGACGUGAGCCUUAUGAAACUCACGACGUGAGUUUUUAAAAUUGUCACUAUAAUUAGCUAGUCCGACUUCAGCCAUUCUUACACCUAAACUUCUUCCCUUUCUCUCCUUUGCUGAGGCCAUUUUGCAUCCCGAGCCCCGAUGAUCUCGUCUGCUGACCGUUUCUGCUUAGAUAACAUAAAACCACGCUACUAGGGUGAGUUUCACGGCCCCACUUUCUAAUAUUUCAGGGGAAAAUGCAUGCUAGAUAUUAUAUAUAUGUUAUUAUUAUGUCUAUAUGAUAGUAUAUAGUUAUGAUAACCCGGAUAUGAUUGUUCUAAAUACAAUAUUUUGAAUAUAUACAACUAUUAUCAACUAAUCAGUAUGUUAAUUUACUAAUAUAGAUCUUGAAUUAUACUUAGGAUUCUAUAUAUAUGUUGUGUGUGAUAUAAUACCGAAGUUAUAUUUGAAAGUUCUAUAUGUUAAGUUAUAAAGUAUGUUGCUAUUAAUAGUUUUAUGUCAAGAUAAAACUGGAUAUGUUAUAUGUUGUUAUUGUUAGUUUUAUGUCAAGAUAAAACUGGAUAUGUUAUAUGUUGUUAUUGUUAGUUUUAUGUUAAGAUAAAACUUGGUAUUGUUAUUGAUAGUUUUAUGUCAAGAUAAAACUAGAAACGUUAUAUGUUGUUAUUAUUGGUUUUAGGUCAAGAUAAAAC
RNAcentral lists this long non-coding RNA (11494 nucleotides) under Lactuca sativa (garden lettuce). Its description in RNAcentral is "long non-coding RNA (LSAT_LNC001084)". Lineage: Eukaryota; Viridiplantae; Streptophyta; Magnoliopsida; Asterales; Asteraceae. The record is from RNAcentral.